GCAGGCUGAAACUCGCCUGUAUGAAGAUGGAGUUGCUAGUAAUCGCGAAUCAGAAUGUCGCGGUGAAUACGUUCCCGGGUCUUGUACACACCGCCCGUCACACCAUGAGAGUUGGCAACACCCGAAACCUGUGGGCUAACCGAAAGGAGGCAGCAGUCUAAGGUGGGGUCAGUGAUUGGGGUGAAGUCGUAACAAGGUAAC
This 201-nucleotide ribosomal RNA is filed under the name uncultured bacterium. RNAcentral describes it as "partial 16S ribosomal RNA". It matches the Rfam family "Bacterial small subunit ribosomal RNA", at positions 1300 to 1500 of the family's 1533-position model. The record is from RNAcentral.